GCCAGUGUGGUGCAGUGGUUUGAGCACUGGACUGUGAGUCUGGGGAUCAGGGUUCGAUUCCCCCGCUUGAGCA
Phrynosoma platyrhinos (Desert horned lizard) is the source of this 73-nucleotide non-coding RNA. The record is from the annotation of a GenBank genome assembly. NCBI's taxonomy places the organism in Eukaryota, Metazoa, Chordata, Lepidosauria, Squamata, Phrynosomatidae.